RNAcentral lists this transfer RNA (100 nucleotides) under Planctomycetota bacterium. Its description in RNAcentral is "tRNA-Ile". It matches the Rfam family "tRNA". Rfam says of the family: Transfer RNA (tRNA) molecules are approximately 80 nucleotides in length. Lineage: Bacteria; Pseudomonadati; Planctomycetota. The record is from RNAcentral.
GCGCUCCUGGCUCAAUUGGUAGAGCAGCGGAUUUAUCAUCCGUGCCGCGAGGCAUCCCUUGACAAGGGGUUGGUUGUGGGUUCGAGUCCUACGGGGCACA